CUUCUGCACCUCAUAACUUCAUAGUCUAUUUGUCAGUCAAAGAAAGGAGAGAAAAUGAUAUUGUGGCUUCAAAGUGUAUUCUUUUCAGCAAUACUCAGAGGUGUCCUUUCAGAUGUUCAGCUGGUGGAGUCUGGAGGAAAGGUCAAAAGGCCCGGAGAGCCCCUCCGCCUCUCCUGUCGAGCCUCCGGGUUCACCUUCAGUAGCUACUGGAUGAAUUGGGUGAGACAGGCUCCUGGCAAGGGUCUCGAAUGGGUGGCAAGGAUAACCAGUGAUGGAGGCACCCAGUACUAUGCCAACUCAGUGAGAGGACGCUUCACCAUCUCCAGGAACAACCCUUCCAACAUGCUUUAUCUGCAAAUGGACAGCUUGAAAGUUGAAGACACAGCUGUGUAUUACUGUGCGAGAGACACAGUGACAGGAUGUGAGUCUGAAGCCAGGCAAAAACCAUACCCUGCCUCUGAUAGCUCUCCAGUAUUAACUGAGUUUAAAGAAGUUAAAGGAGGAAAUGAAGGCAUACAUCCUCUGCACUAA
This is a non-coding RNA of Heteronotia binoei (common prickly gecko), 531 nucleotides long. The record is from the annotation of a RefSeq genome assembly. NCBI's taxonomy places the organism in Eukaryota, Metazoa, Chordata, Lepidosauria, Squamata, Gekkonidae.